RNAcentral lists this ribosomal RNA (1440 nucleotides) under uncultured organism. RNAcentral describes it as "16S ribosomal RNA". It matches the Rfam family "Bacterial small subunit ribosomal RNA". The record is from RNAcentral.
GAUGAACGCUAGCUACAGGCUUAACACAUGCAAGUCGAGGGGCAUCAGGAAGAAAGCUUGCUUUCUUUGCUGGCGACCGGCGCACGGGUGAGUAACACGUAUCCAACCUGCCCUUUACUCGGGGAUAGCCUUUCGAAAGAAAGAUUAAUACCCGAUAGCAUAAUGAUUCCGCAUGGUUUCAUUAUUAAAGGAUUCCGGUAAAGGAUGGGGAUGCGUUCCAUUAGGUUGUUGGUGAGGUAACGGCCCACCAAGCCUUCGAUGGAUAGGGGUUCUGAGAGGAAGGUCCCCCACAUUGGAACUGAGACACGGUCCAAACUCCUACGGGAGGCAGCAGUGAGGAAUAUUGGUCAAUGGGCGCUAGCCUGAACCAGCCAAGUAGCGUGAAGGAUGAAGGCUCUAUGGGUCGUAAACUUCUUUUAUAUAAGAAUAAAGUGCAGUAUGUAUACUGUUUUGUAUGUAUUAUAUGAAUAAGGAUCGGCUAACUCCGUGCCAGCAGCCGCGGUAAUACGGAGGAUCCGAGCGUUAUCCGGAUUUAUUGGGUUUAAAGGGAGCGUAGGUGGACUGGUAAGUCAGUUGUGAAAGUUUGCGGCUCAACCGUAAAAUUGCAGUUGAUACUGUCAGUCUUGAGUACAGUAGAGGUGGGCGGAAUUCGUGGUGUAGCGGUGAAAUGCUUAGAUAUCACGGAGAACUCCGAUUGCGAAGGCAGCUCACUGGACUGCAACUGACACUGAUGCUCGAAAGUGUGGGUAUCAAACAGGAUUAGAUACCCUGGUAGUCCACACAGUAAACGAUGAAUACUCGCUGUUUGCGAUAUACAGUAAGCGGCCAAGCGAAAGCAUUAAGUAUUCCACCUGGGGAGUACGCCGGCAACGGUGAAACUCAAAGGAAUUGACGGGGGCCCGCACAAGCGGAGGAACAUGUGGUUUAAUUCGAUGAUACGCGAGGAACCUUACCCGGGCUUAAAUUGCAGUGGAAUGAUGUGGAAACAUGUCAGUGAGCAAUCACCGCUGUGAAGGUGCUGCAUGGUUGUCGUCGGCUCGUGCCGUGAGGUGUCGGCUUAAGUGCCAUAACGAGCGCAACCCUUAUCUUUAGUUACUAACAGGUUAUGCUGAGGACUCUAGAGAGACUGCCGUCGUAAGAUGUGAGGAAGGUGGGGAUGACGUCAAAUCAGCACGGCCCUUACGUCCGGGGCUACACACGUGUUACAAUGGGGGGUACAGAAGGCAGCUAGCGGGUGACCGUAUGCUAAUCCCAAAAUCCUCUCUCAGUUCGGAUCGAAGUCUGCAACCCGACUUCGUGAAGCUGGAUUCGCUAGUAAUCGCGCAUCAGCCACGGCGCGGUGAAUACGUUCCCGGGCCUUGUACACACCGCCCGUCAAGCCAUGGGAGCCGGGGGUACCUGAAGUACGUAACCGCAAGGAUCGUCCUAGGGUAAAACUGG